This 694-nucleotide ribosomal RNA is filed under the name uncultured bacterium. RNAcentral's name for it is "bacterial SSU rRNA". It matches the Rfam family "Bacterial small subunit ribosomal RNA", at positions 74 to 803 of the family's 1533-position model. The record is from RNAcentral.
UUUCCUUCGGGAAAGGGGACAGCGGCAGACGGGUGAGUAACGCGUGGGAACGUACCCAUCGGUUCGGAACAACUCCGGGAAACUGGAGCUAAUACCGGAUACGCCCUUCGGGGGAAAGAUUUAUCGCCGAUGGAUCGGCCCGCGUCUGAUUAGCUUGUUGGUGGGGUAACGGCCUACCAAGGCGACGAUCAGUAGCUGGUCUGAGAGGAUGAUCAGCCACACUGGGACUGAGACACGGCCCAGACUCCUACGGGAGGCAGCAGUGGGGAAUAUUGGACAAUGGGCGCAAGCCUGAUCCAGCCAUGCCGCGUGAGUGAUGACGGCCCUAGGGUUGUAAAGCUCUUUCGGCGGGGAAGAUAAUGACGGUACCCGCAGAAGAAGCCCCGGCUAACUUCGUGCCAGCAGCCGCGGUAAUACGAAGGGGGCUAGCGUUGUUCGGAAUCACUGGGCGUAAAGCGCACGUAGGCGGAUCGUUCAGUCGGGGGUGAAAUCCCGAGGCUCAACCUCGGAACUGCCUCCGAUACUGGCGAUCUUGAGACCGAGAGAGGUGAGUGGAACUCCGAGUGUAGAGGUGAAAUUCGUAGAUAUUCGGAAGAACACCAGUGGCGAAGGCGGCUCACUGGCUCGGUACUGACGCUGAGGUGCGAAAGCGUGGGGAGCGAACAGGAUUAGAUACCCUGGUAGUCCACGCCGU